CGUUGAAAUCUAAUUGUUGAUUGGUUGCUGUGCAUAAUGUUGGCUGCAGAAGUAAGAACUGAAAGUUGAAGAAUAGAAUCACAAAACGGUCAUGUACAAAGGGAACUAGGCACUAGUUUGAGAGUCAUAACUGAAGAAGAAUUAGAGAGAAUUGUCUGGGUCUUGGUGAUCCCUCUCCUGUUAAAUAGACCUUCUAUAUUCCAGAAACUGUAAGGUAAGCUUUUCCCUGUUAGCACUGUCUAUUGCUCCCUCUCACCAUGGUGUCACAUCCAUCCAGGGUAUUUCUAGCAGACUCAUCAGGAAAUCACAUACAUACAUUAAGACUCUCCUAUAUAGACAGCUUGGGAACGUAUUGGGGAUCUUUCCAUUGCGGCCCUGGGCAGGCUACAUUAUGUUGGAAAUGAAUAACAUGGGGCCCUACCAUAUGUGAUUAUUUUGAACAAACAAUGUACGCAGUAACAUUAGGCGGCCAGGGCUUUUUGUGCAAUUUUCUGCUUUCCUAAAUACAUCUUAUUUCUCUUUUUAUCCCACCUGGAAGCAAUUUGCCACCUCAGCUUGCUGGAGGAGUCGGCAUUAGACAGCAGGUAACAAUCAUCUGGCUUUGCCCAGCCAUAUGCAACCUGCAGCCCUCCAGCUGUUAUUGAACUGCAGUUCCCAUCAUUGCUUAAUAGACUUUGACUUGUCAU
Long non-coding RNA from Xenopus tropicalis (tropical clawed frog), 686 nucleotides. RefSeq lists it as uncharacterized. Lineage: Eukaryota; Metazoa; Chordata; Amphibia; Anura; Pipidae. The transcript is spliced from 3 exons. The record is from RefSeq and is a predicted model, not a curated record.